RNAcentral lists this unclassified non-coding RNA (339 nucleotides) under soil metagenome. RNAcentral's name for it is "partial contains 5.8S ribosomal RNA, internal transcribed spacer 2, and large subunit ribosomal RNA". The stretch from base 1 to 120 matches the Rfam family "5.8S ribosomal RNA", at positions 35 to 154 of the family's 154-position model. The record is from RNAcentral.
GAUGAAGAACGCAGCGAAAUGCGAUAAGUAGUGUGAAUUGCAGAAUUCAGUGAAUCAUCGAAUCUUUGAACGCACAUUGCGCCCCUUGGUAUUCCAUGGGGCAUGCCUGUUCGAGCGUCAUUUAUCAACCCUCAAGCCCGGCUUGCGGUUGGGUCCCGCCGUGGGCGACCACGGCGGACCCGAAAGGUAAUGGCGGUGCCCGUGGGGCCCUGGACGCAGCGAGCUUCUCGGCACGCGUCCCGGCGGUCCCCGGCGCCGUCUCCACCAAUCCACCACGCAGAUUGACCUCGGAUCAGGUAGGGAUACCCGCUGAACUUAAGCAUAUCAAUAAGCGGAGGA